This is a long non-coding RNA of Sorghum bicolor (sorghum), 1656 nucleotides long. RefSeq lists it as uncharacterized. The record is from RefSeq and is a predicted model, not a curated record. Lineage: Eukaryota; Viridiplantae; Streptophyta; Magnoliopsida; Poales; Poaceae. The transcript has 5 exons.
UCGGAGGCGCGCGCCGUCGAAGCGGGGCGGCGAAGUGAGGUAGGGGGAUCGGGUGCGGUGCGGUGCGGUGGGGAAGAGAGGAGAGAGAGAAGUAGAGAAGGAAGGUGGUGGGGACGGGACGGGUGGAAGUGGUCCACCGUGGUCCUCGAUGCCGUCGUCCUCGCCCACACCAUCGUCCUCGAUCCACCCCGAUCUGCCAUCGUCCUCACCGGCCGAUCCCCUUCUCCCUCGGCGCUGCCUUUCCUACACAGCAUGGCUUGCGGUGGCUUCAUAGCCCAACGAAGCCAGAGCCUGGCCCCCCUUGUGGGUUUGCUUUUGGCCUGUGCAUGGCCAGUGCGGUGGUCAGCUGGGCCAGGCAGCUCGCAGUGGAUGCGGCGGUGUGGACCUCCAGGGUGUGCCCCCUCCCUUGUGAAGCCGACAGGUAUGCCCACCCCUUACCUAGCGAUGGUUGUCAACAUGGGGCUUCUAGCAGGCACCAAGAUGAAGGGGACAACAGCCAUGGCAUCUCGGACAUCUACACCAACGUUCACAGUCCUGGUACCACCUCACCACCUCCACUCCAUAUGCAACAUCAGAACUCGCAUAGGAGGUGUUUGAGGGAAUUCCCAUGAGCCUUUCGGAAUCAAAGUUGGAUAUGUAGUCCCAGCCAAGCUAGAGGUGCUGGUAGUUCAUCUCCUCAAGGUGGUGGCUGCUACAACUAAUCUACUAACCUGGUUAUGUACAAAGGAAUAUAUGUUGUGUGUCACAUAUGCACGGACAGGGUGUGGAGGUGGCACUACAUUGGUAGAUGGGCAGGGUUGGGCACUCUUUCCCACCGCACAUGAGCCAAUGUGGGAGAUUCAUCGCAACAGGAUCUACCAGUCAAGGUGAUAGAGGUUGACAGCCAUCGCUAUAGUGAGUUUGAGCUUACCCUGUCAGUUGGUGACAUUGUAAUUGUCUAAAAGAGUUGGAUACAUGGAUGAAAUGAAGGAAGGUUUUAGGAGAAGAGCUUCACCGCUCAAGAUUCUGGACAGAUUUGGCCAAGAAACUAUUUGCUCCAUGAAUUCUUGCUUGCUUUGUGCUUUAGAUGGAAUUAAUUCACAACUGAUUUUCAGUUUUGUAAGCGCUUGCUGUGGAUAUGUGCUGCCUAGAUGCCAGGACAGAAUCCUGUUUAUGACAGGGUAGGUCACUCAAGCAACAUUUUCACAGUGAACUUGUGCUUAUGCUGAAUUGUAGGUACCUUUGUUGGCAUGGAAUCUUUUAUAAAUUCAUUUCCGCCUACAAUUGGAUUAUGUGCAUAUAUACAACCUUGCAGGAUGAAUUUAUUAGCCUAGCUCCAAGAAACAUACAGUACAGGUAACAACAAAUAUGCCUGGUCUUUUGUCUCCAUCGAUGGAAUCGACAGAAGACAUUUGAGCUAGGUGGGAGACUAUGUUGAAGGUUGAAGUAGUCGCUGGAAACUCUCAAAAGUCAUCAAAUACUCAGUGUAAUUUUGACGUGUUCUUGAGACGUGCAUUUGUAAUGUCUGUGAUGUGUUUUCCUGUUACUAUACUCUAAAAUCAUCCAUCAUGCCACAAGAACGGAUGGUUCAUGAUGUGUCCUAAUUGUUGAAUUGCAACCUCGUAACUGUGUUCUUUUACAUGAGAACAAAUGGUGUUGCACUCAGCUUCCUAUUAA